RNAcentral lists this ribosomal RNA (774 nucleotides) under uncultured Neocallimastigales. RNAcentral describes it as "partial large subunit ribosomal RNA". It matches the Rfam family "Eukaryotic large subunit ribosomal RNA", at positions 20 to 616 of the family's 3401-position model. The record is from RNAcentral. Lineage: Eukaryota; Fungi; Neocallimastigomycota; Neocallimastigomycetes; Neocallimastigales.
UACUAGAGUAGCACUCGCAUAUCAAUAAGCGGAGGAAAAGAAACUAACAAGGAUUCCCCUAGUAACGGCGAGUGAAGCGGGAAGAGCUCAAAUUUGAAAUCUUAAAGGGUUUCCCUUUACGAAUUGUAGUUUAAAGAAGUGUUUUCUGUUGAGGUUUUGGUAAAAGUUCUUUGGAAUAGGACAUCAUAGAGGGUGAGAAUCCCGUAUUUGACCUUUACUUUCAACUUUGUGAUACACUUUCAAAGAGUCGGAUUGUUUGGGAAUGCAGUCCGAAAUGGGUGGUAAAUUUCAUCUAAAGCUAAAUAUUGGCGAGAGACCGAUAGCGAACAAGUACCGUGAGGGAAAGAUGAAAAGAACUUUGAAAAGAGAGUUAAACAGUACGUGAAAUUGUCAAAAGGGAAGCGUUUGACACCAGUGUUGUUUUUCUGAAAAUCAAUUAAAGAACUGUUUAUGCUAAGCUGUUUAGACUUUAUCAGCUAUCUGUUUAGUUUUGAGCUUUUCUUUAAUGCACUUUUCAGUUAACAAGUCAACAUCAAUUUCUUUUGCUGUAAAAAAGCUUGAGGAAGGUGGCUUGAGAUUCGUCUUAAGUGUUUAUAGCCUCUUGCCUAUGCAGUCGGAGAGAUUGAGGUCUGCAGCGUAGAUCCUUCGGGGCUAAAUGCAUUUGUGCUAAGUUAUAGCAUUUUAUAGACAACUUGUUGACUAUGAUUUGUCUUGUAGCUUACUCGCUUAUGUUAUUUUACCUACGCUUAGGAUGUUGAGCGCAUGUCUCUCUCU